RNAcentral lists this unclassified non-coding RNA (153 nucleotides) under uncultured Basidiomycota. Its description in RNAcentral is "sequence contains ITS1". The record is from RNAcentral. Lineage: Eukaryota; Fungi; Basidiomycota.
GUGAAUAUUAGGGUGUCCAACUUAACUUGGAGCCCGAACUCUCACUUUCUAACCCUGUGCAUCUGUUUUUGGUUAGUAGCUCUCUUUUGAGAGUGAAACCCAUUCACUUACAAACACAAAGUCUAUGAAUGUAUACAAAUUUAUAAUAAAACA